GGCGGACGGGUGAGUAACGCGUAAGAAUCUAACUUCNGGACGGGGACAACAGUUGGAAACGACUGCUAAUACCCGAUGUGCCGCANGGUGAAAACUAAUUGGCCUGAAGAAGAGCUUGCGUCUGAUUAGCUAGUUGGUGGGGUAAGAGCCUACCAAGGCGACGAUCAGUAGCUGGUCUGAGAGGAUGAGCAGCCACACUGGGACUGAGACACGGCCCAGACUCCUACGGGAGGCAGCAGUGGGGAAUUUUCCGCAAUGGGCGAAAGCCUGACGGAGCAACGCCGCGUGAGGGAGGAAGGUCUUUGGAUUGUAAACCUCUUUUCUCAAGGAAGAAGUUCUGACGGUACUUGAGGAAUCAGCCUCGGCUAACUCCGUGCCAGCAGCCGCGGUAAUACNGGGGAGGCAAGCGUUAUCCGGAAUUAUUGGGCGUAAAGCGUCCGCAGGUGGUCAGCCAAGUCUGCCGUCAAAUCANGUUGCUUAACGACCUAAAGGCGGUGGAAACUGGCAGACUANAGAGCANUAGGGGUAGCAGGAAUUCCCAGUGUAGCGGUGAAAUGCGUAGAGAUUGGGAAGAACAUCGGUGGCGAAAAGCGUGCUACUGGGCUGUAUCUGACACUCAGGGACNAAAGCUAGGGGAGCGAAAGGNAUUAGAUACCCCUGUAGUCCUAGCCGUAAACGAUGGAUACUAGGCGUGGCUUGUAUCGACCCGANCCGUGCCGAANCUAACGCGUUANNAUCCCGCCUGGGGAGUACGCACGCANGUG
RNAcentral lists this ribosomal RNA (764 nucleotides) under uncultured bacterium. Its description in RNAcentral is "bacterial SSU rRNA". It matches the Rfam family "Bacterial small subunit ribosomal RNA", at positions 97 to 894 of the family's 1533-position model. The record is from RNAcentral.